GAGCUGCACACCAGUGCCCACGCUGCCCUGGGGCAGAGAUGAAGGGCGUGUGAGGAUCCUCUUGUCUCAUCCCUGAAUCCUCUGGACAGAGAUGCGAAGGCAGGCCUCGGAGAGCGUGUCGUGCAGGAUCUGUGGGAACAGGCUGUGAUGCAGGCAGCACAUGGGACUCCCCCAGCUGGGACCCAGGCUGGACUAUACUAGGCCCUGCUGAGUUCACUGAGGCAGAAAGGGGAGACAGGACCUCACCUGCCGGAACAGGAGGUCAAGCUGCACAGGAUGGCUGUAGCUGUCCUUGGGCCCCUCCCCUGGCUACGGCUGUGCUCGGCACCUCUUUGCGCAGGAAGAUCUUCCAGGGGGCGUCCUGAUAGCCGUAGAAGUUGGGAUUGAUGAGGCGGUGCAGCCGCGUCUGCCAGAGAAGGGGUUUCACCAUAUUGGCCAGGAUGGUCU
Molecule: long non-coding RNA, 447 nt
Filed under: Homo sapiens (human)
Lineage: Eukaryota; Metazoa; Chordata; Mammalia; Primates; Hominidae
Description: HSALNT0388881
Source: RNAcentral